This 1482-nucleotide ribosomal RNA is filed under the name uncultured Bordetella sp. RNAcentral's name for it is "partial 16S-23S ribosomal RNA intergenic spacer". It matches the Rfam family "Bacterial small subunit ribosomal RNA". Lineage: Bacteria; Pseudomonadati; Pseudomonadota; Betaproteobacteria; Burkholderiales; Alcaligenaceae. The record is from RNAcentral.
AGUUUGAUCCUGACUCAGAUUGAACGCUGGCGGGAUGCUUUGCAUGCAAGUCGAACGGCAGCACGGACUUCGGUCUGGUGGCAUUGGCGAACAGGUGAGUAAUGUAUCAGGAACGUGCUAGUAGCGGGGGAUAACUACGCGAAAGCGUAGCUAAUACCACAUACGCCCUUCGAGCGGGGGACCGGGCCUCGCCUUCGUAGAGCAGCCGAUAUCGGAUUAGCUAGUUGAAUUUGGCAGGUAACGGCUCACCAAAGGCGACGAUCCGUAAACUGGUUUGAGAGGACGACCGGCCACGCAAAGGACUGAGACACGGCCCAGACUCCUACGGGAGGCAGCAGUGGGGGUACCCGGACAGUAGGGGGAAACCUGAUCCAGCCAUCCCGCGUGUGCGAUGAAGGCCUUCGGGUUGUAAAGCACUUUUGGCAGGAAAAACGGUGCAGGAUAAUACGUGCAACUGACGGUACCUGCAGAAUAAGCACCGGCUUAACUACGUGCCAGCAGCCGCGGUAAUACGUAGGGCGCAAGCGUUAAUCGGAAUUACUGGGCGUAAAGCGUGCGCAGCGGUUCGGAAAAGAAAGAUGUGAAAUCCCAGAGCUUAACUUUCAGAACUGCGUUUUUAACUACCGAGAACUGGUGUGUCAGAGGGAGGUGGAAUUCCGCGUGUAGCAGUGAAAUGCGUAGAUAUGCCGGAGGAACACCGAUGGCGAGCAGCCUCCUGGGAUAACACUGACGCUCAUGCACGAAAGCGUGGGGAGCAAACAGGAUUAGAUACCCUCAGCUAGUCACUAUAAACGAUAAUGUCAACUAGCUGUUGGGGCCUUCGGGCCUUGGUAGCGCAGCUAACGCGUGAAGUUGACCGCCUGGGGAACCACGGUCCUGAAUUAAAACUCAAAGGAAUUGACGGGGACGCACAAGCGGUAAUUGGAUGAUGUGGAUUAAUUCGAUGCAACGCGAAAAACCUUACCACUACCCUUGACAUGUCUGGAAUCCCGAAGAGAUUUAAAGGUGCUCGCAAGAGGGCCGAACACAGGUGCUGCAUGGCUGUCAAUGUCGAUAUUCGUGAGAUGUUGGGUUAAGUCCCGCAACGGGGCGCAGCCCUUGUCAUUAGUUGCUACGAAAGGGCACUCUAAUGAGACUGCCGGUGACAAACCGGAGGAAGGUGAGGAUGACGUCAAGUCCUCCCUUGGCCCAUAUGGGUAGGGCUUCACACGUCAUACAAUGGUCGGGACAGAGGGUCGCCAACCCGCGAGGGGGGAGCCAAUCCCAGAAACCCGAUCGUAGUCCGGAUCGCAGUCUGCAGCCUUCGACUGCGUGAAGUCGAAUCAUAAUAAUCGCGGAUCAACAUGUCGCGGUGAAUACGUUCCCGGGUCUUGUACACACCGCCCGUCACACCAUGGAGUGGUUUACCAGAAGUAGUUAGCUAACCGUAAGGAGGGCGAUUACCACGUGCAGUUCAUGACUGAGGUGAAGUCGCUCAGGUAG